RNAcentral lists this long non-coding RNA (1233 nucleotides) under Anas platyrhynchos platyrhynchos (common mallard). Its description in RNAcentral is "lncRNA (ENSAPLG00000018849.1)". The record is from RNAcentral. Lineage: Eukaryota; Metazoa; Chordata; Aves; Anseriformes; Anatidae.
GAUUCAUUUGGGAAAGCAAAGCACAGGCAGGGCUGGUUGGGCUCGGACACGUGUGGGUUGCAGCCCCAGCUCCAGCUCGCUCGGGUGGCAGCGAGGGGACACGGCUGCUGUCACCGCAUCGAUCACGGAUUUGUGCCCCUGGGAAGAUCAUGACCCCAGAGAAAUGCUGCUGGAGAAGGGCUGGCAGGGUUAGUUUGGAAGCCAAACUGUCUCAUCACAGCCCCACUUCUGGUUUUGGCCUGCCGGGAGGGAAGAUGCAUGCGGGCUGUUGGGCAAGAAUAGAAAAAGGGAUCUAAAAGGAGGAAGCGACAGAAAUGCCAAGUUGCUUCAGGCCACCGCCAGCCCCGCUGCGCAGCGUGGAAAAUGCCCCCGGUUCCUACAUCCCUCGUGUCCCCCGUGCCCAGGGGGAGGACAGCCAGUCCCUAAACCCCCAGCCCCAUGGAGAAACCCCGCUGCCUUCACCAGGCUGGCAGCAUCCCCGUCCCCUCUGCUCUGCCCGUUGGUGCUGCAUGCGCAGGGCUCAGCUGUGCUCCUCCAAACCAGCUCCAGGAGGAAGCCACGUGUGUGACAGCACAGGACAGAAAGCAGCACCGUGCACGGCCCCACGCUCAUGGCUUUAUCACCCCGUCCUGGUGCUGCUUGGGGUCUGCACGCCAGCACCCACAAGGAAACAAGAGAAAGAGCACGUCUGCAAGCACGAGGUUUCCGUGUCAUCACCGACAUUCGCACCCUCCACACGCACAAGACUUCAGUGCUCCUUGCAGGAAUUUUGUUUUUGCUUCCUUUUGCUGCAAGCCUCGAGCUCGGGGCUUCCCCUGCCAGCGGGGACCUGCUGCUUUGCUGCCCACCUGCCCACGAGGCUGCUGCAGCCCGCACACAGCCCACGGGAACCUGCUUUUAAAACACCCCCGGCCCCACCGAAGCUUUCACCCUGCUGGGAGGGAAUAUCCCCAGAGCAGAGCGGAGGCUGGGGGCAGCUCGUGUACGCACGACAGAAGCCGUGUGGGUUUUUUAAAGCCAGGCCGAGGACAAAUCCCCAUGAAAAUGUCAGAGAGCCGCGUUCCGACCAAGUAGGUCAGGCUGCGGUUCCUGCAGCCGCGCUUCCUCCGGCUGCACGUGCUGCACGGCGCCGCCGAGCUGCCUGGCCACGCUGACAGCACCCGCUAAGGGCUGGGGUUUAACAGCCAGGCACAGGAGCACAGCCCCGGGACAAAAAGAUGCUCCCCGGGUCCC